Long non-coding RNA from Peromyscus eremicus (cactus mouse), 1100 nucleotides. RefSeq lists it as uncharacterized. NCBI's taxonomy places the organism in Eukaryota, Metazoa, Chordata, Mammalia, Rodentia, Cricetidae. The record is from RefSeq and is a predicted model, not a curated record. The transcript has 3 exons.
GAAGAGCAGGUUACGGUAGCGUCGAAAGGCCUCGUCGAGGACGACGCAACCCGCCUGCGCGGCCGAACCGGCAUGGUACCGGAACUGGAAGUUGUUGGGGUACAGCGUGUAGCGCCGGUGGUAGGUUUGGAUGUACUGGGGCCAGGGCCACACCGCCGUGGCCGUGCAAGCCAACGCCGCCGCCAGCAGCAGCGAAACCCAGAGCCUGCAGCCUGCCAUGGCCCACCGGCGAGCUCCCUCCCAGCAGGCUGAGCCCACGUUAGACCCGGGUCAGGUGAGCGGCGCCCGCGUGACAAUCGAAGGGUCACGUGGGCGCGCGGGAAGCUGGGCUCGAUCCCGGCGAUCGUUAGGCCACCGAUUCCGCAGCUCUCGGCCUGCUGGGCAGCGAUGGAGCAGUCCCCGCCCCGGCCAAGCCCCUGUAACCCGAGCCUAGGGGCUGGGCCGGGAGGGACAGGCGCCGCCCCUGGGAUUGGAGAACCCCCAGGGCCUAGGAAAAUGCAGAAGGAAAACAAGAGUCCAAAAAAAUCGUAUGUGGCUCCUGGUUGUGAUACCAGAAUUUGUGAAGGAAAGGCAAGAGAAUUGCUGUAAGUCUAUGGCCAGCCCGGGCUAUCCAGUGAGUGCGAGAGCCAGGUUCUGGGGAUUGAACCUGGGUUCUCAUGCUUGUGAGGCAAGCACAAGCCGUCUCCCCAUCCCCUGCAUUCUUAAUUCUUCCAUUGAUUAAACCCAAAAUUUCCUCAGCACUCUUGGUAGUGUCUGGAUACUUUUCCAGUCAGGAGAGACUACACAUGGACACACAGAGAAUCAUGGAUUUAGCAGCAGUUUGCUAACUCUGAAGUGGACUUGGUAAACCUGUUCUCUAUUUUUGUUGGGCUGGAAAGAGGAAGGAGGAAGUGGGGGAAUUCCAGAGCUAUUGUCAGAAGAGUCAAGGUCAUAAUCAGGUCCACAGGAUUGAUAGUUGAGAUGAGUUGAAAACAAGGUCAAAGGUAAGAACAAUAGAUGAAACAGGGUUUGAGGGCUGAGAAUGUGCCAAGGCACCUUGUCAUGUGACACCUCACCUGAGCCCAAAGAGAAAAAUCACUCGAAAGAGUCCCAGGGUGAAU